Molecule: ribosomal RNA, 611 nt
Filed under: Phragmidium tuberculatum
Lineage: Eukaryota; Fungi; Basidiomycota; Pucciniomycetes; Pucciniales; Phragmidiaceae
Description: eukaryotic LSU rRNA
Rfam family: Eukaryotic large subunit ribosomal RNA
Source: RNAcentral
AAACUAACCAGGAUUCCCCUAGUAACGGCGAGUGAAGAGGGAAAAGCCCAAAUUUGUAAUCUGGCUCUUUCAGAGUCCGAGUUGUAAUUUUAAGAACUGUUUUCCGUGCUGGACCAUUUCUAAGUCUGUUGAAAAAUAGCAUCAUUGAGGGUGAUAAUCCCGUUCAUGAUAUGGACUGCCAGUGCAAUGUGAUACAGUUUCUAAGAGUCGAGUUGUUUGGGAAUGCAGCUCAAAGUGGGUGGUAAAUUCCAUCUAAGGCUAAAUAUAGGUGAGAGACCGAUUGCAUACAAAUACCGUGAGGGAAAGAUGAAAAGAACUUUGGAAAGAGAGUUAAAAGUACGUGAAAUUGUUGUAAGGGAAACAAUUAAAGUUAGCCUUGUGCUUGUUAGUUCAGCUCUUUAACUAGGGUGUAUUCUAACAAUGUCACGGACCAACAUCAGUUUUUGGGUGCUGGAUAAGGGCUCCGGAAAUGUAGCAGUCUCGGCUGUGUUAUAGUCCGGGGUUUGGAUACAGUGCCUGGGACUGAGGAGAUCUGCAGCAAGCCAGUCAAAUGGCCGCCCUUUUUAAGGGCUCCCCUGCUGAGGAUGUUGGUGUCAAUAGCUUUAACUGAC